CACGGCGAGAGAGAAGCUCACUUUUGGCUAAUAACAAAACUCUGACUGGUUAAUAAAGUUAAUGUUCGUCCUCAGCGAGCUGCUGGUUCCUCUCAGGGUUUCAUGAGGUGAGAGUAAAGAUCCACUGAGUAAACCCUCAUCCUGCUGGUCUACGUGCAUGUCAUAGAUGGAACCAACAGACCAGAGAUGUCAUCAUGGAUGUUUCCCUCACUCAGAGGUCAGGGCAGCUGAAGUUCUGUUUGAAGACUUUAUCCAUGAAAUGAUACGAAUAGAAGAGGGGAGACAGAUGAAGACAUGAAGACACCUUUUCCUUCCAUUUUUUGUUUUCUCUCCAUCCUGUGUGUGGGGUCUAUUUUCAUCACUGUGAACACCAACCUUAAAGGCUGAAUAAAAUACAUGCACAACAAAAACAAGGUCUUGAAGCCUUUUUUUAAGAAGUAAUUUCUUCUCUUCAUUCAUCUCUUGUCCGACACUGUAGCUGCACUUAGCUUUGACUCGGUUGUUUAAUCUUUUUUAUUCUGUUUUACUUAAUUUGAUUCUGCUCUUUUAAAAUUCAGUUGUUAUUUAUUGGUUUCUUUAUAUCUUGUUUUAAUGCUUUUUAUGUCUCAUGUAAAACACUAGUAAUUGCAGUUAUACAAAUAAACCUUUAUCUUGCACCCUUCAGUUCAAAACUCAUGUUCUGUAUAGAUCAUCUGUUCCCAACCUGAGGGUCGAGACCUCCGUAGGGAACAAAUGAUAAAUCUGUGGGGUCUUGAGAUGAUUAACGGGACAGGAAAAGCUUUUUAAGGACACGAAAACAAUCUAAACAUCAGUUUUUGGUCUUAAAGGGCCACAAGCCAAAAAGGUUGAGUCCCACCGAUGUGGAUCAUACGACCCAGAAACUUGACCACGCAGCAUUUUCCAUAACACCCUGUAGCAUGGUGUCUCACUGAGCAUCUGAAGACGGACCUGAUAUCUGAGUCAUGACAUUCAAUGAAAAUGACCUGAACUGUGGCGAGGAGACGAUUGGAUGCUCCAUCAUGAUAACACGUCCACUCACAGUGCACUGACAACACUUCUUCCUGUUCCCCAAAAUGAAAUUCAAGCUGAAGAGUCGGUGUUCUGACUAUGGAUGGGGAUCAAUAGUUAAU
Molecule: long non-coding RNA, 1130 nt
Organism: Lates calcarifer (barramundi perch)
Lineage: Eukaryota; Metazoa; Chordata; Actinopteri; Centropomidae
Exons: 3
Source: RefSeq, a predicted model, not a curated record